UUUAAUUUUUGUUUUCUUUUUCUUCUUUUCUAAUUUGUCUGGCCAAUGAUUGAGCAUAUGACUAACCCAAAUGCUCAUUUUUAUUUAGUUUUUCUUGCUUUUCUCUUAUCUUGUCAAGUCUUUAGUGAUGAACAGUCCGAAGAAAAAAAAAUUGAAACACAUAAUAAUAUAGUGCUUGAUAAAUUAAAAGGUUCAACAAAUGCUGGCUCCAUGACUUUUAACGGCAGAUUCCUAAUAUUAAAACGAAUUACAAUAAUACUACUCAUGCAUUCACUUAGAUAUUAUCCUAGCGCAAAUCAUGUUCAUGCUCCUCGUCCUCUCCGCCGUCGGCAUCGCGGUGGUGCUCCCAAUGCCAUCCGCCGACACCGCCUCCGUCCCCGUCCACUAUAUCCAUUAUUUCCAUGGGUACCUCAACCCAAGGCUUUGCCAGCUUUGACAAGGCCUCCGUCUAUGCCUUCCCAUCAUCAUGAGUAAGAUGUGCUUUCACUUAUUUAUUAGCGAAAAAUGGAUAAAUAGAUCAUUAGCUUUUUGAUCCGUAAACAUUUAAAUUUUUAAAGAUUUAAGAACACAUUUAAAUAUUUGAUUUUUUUAAAAUUUGGACAUAUAGAUCUUUUAUAUUCACUUGGAUAUGUUAAAUUUAACGAAAAAAUUAAACGUAACUCCUGUUAUAUUGACCUGGUUGAUACGGAUGCACACGUAAGAGAAUUUUUAAAAUGGGAUAAAUUAAACCCAGGAAUCGAUAUGUCUAGAUUUUGAAGAAGUUAGAAACUUGAAUGUAUUUUUAAAUUCUCAGAGACUUAAAUAUCCGCAGGCCCAAAAAUUAGGAAUCGAUUCAUCUUUUUCUCUUUAUUAGGAUUAACAUUUUACUCGAACGAUCAAAGAUGUUCUGUUUAGUAGCACUACUAAGUUAAUCAAUAGUUCAAUAAACUUUUAUGCUUA
Non-coding RNA from Arachis ipaensis, 939 nucleotides. The record is from RefSeq and is a predicted model, not a curated record. Lineage: Eukaryota; Viridiplantae; Streptophyta; Magnoliopsida; Fabales; Fabaceae.